GACGAACGCUGGCGGCGUGCUUAACACAUGCAAGUCGAACGGAAAGGCCUGCUUUCCCUUGUGGAUUGCGGGUACUCGAGUGGCGAACGGGUGAGUAACACGUGAGUGAUCUGCCCCCAACUUGGGUAUAAGCCUGGGAAACUGGGUCUAAUUCCCGAUAGGACUGCAGGGUGGUGCCUGUGGUGGAAAACGAUUUUCUAGUGGUUGGGGAUGAGCUCGCGGCCCAUCAGCUUGUUGUUGGGGUAAUGGCCUACCAAGGCGGCGACGGGUAGCCGGCCUGGGAGGGUGGACGGCCACAUUGGGACUGAGAUACGGCCCAGACUCCUACGGGAGGCAGCAGUGGGGAAUAUUGCACAAUGGGCGGAAGCCUGAUGCAGCGACGCCGCGUGGGGGAUGACGGCCUUCGGGUUGUAAACUCCUUUCGACCGCGAGGAAGCCACCUGGUUGGAAGGGUGGUGACGGUAGUGGUAGAAGAAGCACCGGCUAACUACGUG
Molecule: ribosomal RNA, 494 nt
Filed under: uncultured bacterium
Lineage: Bacteria
Description: partial 16S ribosomal RNA
Rfam family: Bacterial small subunit ribosomal RNA
Source: RNAcentral